CUACGGGUCGCUGCAGUGGGGAAUAUUGCACAAUGGGCGCAAGCCUGAUGCAGCAACGCCGCGUGAGGGAUGAAGGCCUUCGGGUUGUAAACCUCUUUUAGCAGGGAAGAAGCGAAAGUGACGGUACCUGCAGAAAAAGCACCGGCUAACUACGUGCCAGCAGCCGGGGUAAUACGUAGGGUGCAAGCGUUGUCCGGAAUUAUUGGGCGUAAAGAGCUCGUAGGCGGUUUGUCACGUCUGCUGUGAAAAUCCAAGGCUCAACCUUGGACUUGCAGUGGGUACGGGCAGGCUAGAGUGCGGUAGGGGAGAUGGGAAUUCCUGGUGUAGCGGUGGAAUGCGCAGAUAUCAGGAGGAACACCAAUGGCGAAGGCACAUCUCUGGGCCGUAACUGACGCUGAGGAGCGAAAGCGUGGGGAGCGAACAGGAUUAGAUACCCCCGUAGUC
Molecule: ribosomal RNA, 444 nt
Filed under: uncultured bacterium
Lineage: Bacteria
Description: partial 16S ribosomal RNA
Rfam family: Bacterial small subunit ribosomal RNA
Source: RNAcentral